Molecule: transfer RNA, 123 nt
Filed under: Gemmataceae bacterium
Lineage: Bacteria; Pseudomonadati; Planctomycetota; Planctomycetia; Gemmatales; Gemmataceae
Description: tRNA-OTHER
Source: RNAcentral
GCCUCUGUGGUGCAACGGCAGCACGCCGUAACGCGGUCCAUCACCACCUUGCCCUCACGGGCCGACGACGGAUCGUUACCGCUUACCACGCCGGAGAUCCAGGUUCGACUCCUGGCAGAGGCU